AGCAGUCGCGGUAAUUCCAGCUCCAAUAGCGUAUAUUAAAGUUGUUGCAGUUAAAAAGCUCGUAGUUGAAUUUCGGGAUUAGUACGUUGGUCGUGCCUUAGGUACGUACUGGUGUUACUGGUUCCUACCUUCUGACGAACCAUCAUGUCAUUAAUUUGGUGUGGCGGGGAAUCAGGACUGUUACUUUGAAAAAAUUAGAGUGUUUAAAGCAGGCUCGCGCUUGAAUACAUUAGCAUGGAAUAAUGAAAUAGGACGUUGACCCUAUUUUGUUGGUUUCUAGGAUUGACGUAAUGAUUAAUAGGGAUAGUUGGGGGCAUUAGUAUUCAAUUGUCAGAGGUGAAAUUCUUGGAUUUAUUGAAGACUAACUACUGCGAAAGCAUUUGCCAAGGAUGUUUUCAUUAAUCAAGAACGAAAGUUAGGGGAUCGAAGACGAUCAGAUACCGUCGUAGUCUUAACCAUAAACUAUGCCGACUAGGGAUCGGAUGAUGUUAAUUUUUUAAUGACUCA
This 507-nucleotide ribosomal RNA is filed under the name Glomus sp. MO-G5. Its description in RNAcentral is "SSU rRNA". It matches the Rfam family "Eukaryotic small subunit ribosomal RNA", at positions 569 to 1078 of the family's 1831-position model. The record is from RNAcentral. Lineage: Eukaryota; Fungi; Glomeromycota; Glomeromycetes; Glomerales; Glomeraceae.